UCCUGCGCUGGAGCGGGGUGCUGGAGGCCAGACUCACCUUCAGAUGGAUGAGGAAGGACCGCUCCUGCUGGAGGGGGCCCAGCAGCGUCUGCUCCACGCUGACCAGCUCCGAGGACUUGGAUGGGAAAACGUGCGGCUUGGUGCAGAUGCAUCCGUCCGCAGGGAUACCCCGCCCCCACCUGCUUUGAAGGAUGCCUGUCAGUGACCAUUCGUGCCCUGGGUACUGAGGGUGGCAGACCCUGGAAAUCCAGUCUCGUGCAGCAAACCCUUCCACUAUCAAGUGGCUGACGGCAAUGACCACUUCUGGUCGUGAAACUAAGAUAUUUUAAGCUCCAGAGCUUCUGUAGCCCUUCUGUGAGUCUGAGGGUCAAGAGGGCCAACAGUGAAGAGAGAAAAGGAAGAGAUUUAUAGUGAGAAGCCAAUGGUCUUACAACACCAUCCAAGACCUAUGUUUAGCAGCACAAGAAGAUAGCCCCACCUCUGAGCUUUUCAGUUACACACGCCACCAAAAACUCUUUUUGCUUGAGCCACUUUGGGUUGAGUGUAUGGCUUCUUGCAACAGAAAGCUACAACUAAAACAAACUGCUUGACCUACUGAGUGCAGAAAUGUUGUUAAUGGAGUGAUCUGUGACCUAGUGCCUCUCGGGCAAAACAGCCCUAAAAGGUCCCUCUGGCCAUUUCCAGCAACACUUCUGCAAUUCACCUAAACUUUCACCUAAAGUUUAGGUGAAUUGCAGAAUUCAACAAUUGUGGAAAAACCUCUCUAAGCAACUCUGGUCUUUCCUGACAAUUGAUGGGAGCAUUAUUAAGUGGACAACAGAAGUACUCAUGACCUUGGGUAAUGUGGGAUAAAAACUCCAGAAAGUGAGAAGCAGUGUUAGUAAACUGAUAGAGUGUGAUUAGAGAAACCAGUAUUCUGGCCCUUCUGUGAAUCUAGAGGUUCUUUUCCUCUGGAUUCUUUCCUUUUUCCUCCUUUUAUUAUCUCUUUUGUUUGAGUGUAGUUGAUGCACAUUACAUUAGUUUCAAGUGUACAAUGUAGCGAUUCAGCAUCUCUUCACUUUUGUGCUGCGCUCACCCCAAGUGUAGCAAGAUACGAACUUGUGCUGGAAUCCUGAGGAAGCCUGGCCCAGCGGGAACAGAAGGGGGAAAUGAGAGAGGGUGCCGCCCUGUGAAGCCUUCCUCAAAGGACUCGGCAGAGCCUAGAUACAUUUGAGCCCUCCUUAUAUACUUUGGCGCUUUUCUCCAAAAGGGAUCCAAGAGAAUUCCAGCAAUGGAGCUGUUAACCUUCAGCACACCCUGGCAAAGUUCAUAGGCGGGAGCAAAACAAAACAUGUCCAAAGAGACCAGAGAGUUAUUAUUUUUGAAUGAAAAUUAUGGUUGAGGAGAAACAGAUGCUGAAGAGAUAGACCAAGAUCUGAAAAUGUUCU
This is a long non-coding RNA of Mustela erminea (ermine), 1427 nucleotides long. RefSeq lists it as uncharacterized. The record is from RefSeq and is a predicted model, not a curated record. The transcript has 3 exons. NCBI's taxonomy places the organism in Eukaryota, Metazoa, Chordata, Mammalia, Carnivora, Mustelidae.